This 253-nucleotide ribosomal RNA is filed under the name uncultured bacterium. Its description in RNAcentral is "partial 16S ribosomal RNA". It matches the Rfam family "Bacterial small subunit ribosomal RNA", at positions 524 to 776 of the family's 1533-position model. The record is from RNAcentral.
UACGGGGGGGGCAAGCGUUGUUCGGAAUUACUGGGCGUAAAGGGCUCGUAGGUGGCCAACUAAGUCGGACGUGAAAUCCCUCAGCUUAACUGGGGAACUGCGUCCGAUACUGGAUGGCUUGAGUUUGGGAGAGGGAUGCGGAAUUCCAGGUGUAGCGGUGAAAUGCGUAGAUAUCUGGAGGAACACCGGUGGCGAAGGCGGCAUCCUGGACCGAGAUUGACGCUGAACAGCGAAAGCUAGGGGAGCAAACGGG